Gorilla gorilla gorilla (western lowland gorilla) is the source of this 148-nucleotide non-coding RNA. It matches the Rfam family "Metazoan signal recognition particle RNA". From Rfam's summary of the family: The signal recognition particle (SRP) is a universally conserved ribonucleoprotein. It is involved in the co-translational targeting of proteins to membranes. Lineage: Eukaryota; Metazoa; Chordata; Mammalia; Primates; Hominidae. The record is from Rfam.
GCUGGGUGUAGUGACGAAUGCCUGUAAUCCCAGCUACUCAGGAGGCUGAGGCAUAAGAAUCACUUGAGCCCAGGAAGCUAAGGUUGCAGUGAGCCAAGAUCGUGCCACUGCACUCCAGCCUGGGCAACAGAAUGAGACUCUGCCUCAA